This is a long non-coding RNA of Helianthus annuus (common sunflower), 946 nucleotides long. RefSeq lists it as uncharacterized. The transcript is spliced from 7 exons. NCBI's taxonomy places the organism in Eukaryota, Viridiplantae, Streptophyta, Magnoliopsida, Asterales, Asteraceae. The record is from RefSeq and is a predicted model, not a curated record.
GCCGUUCAAUCUCUUUACCGAUUCUUCCCUGCCUUCGAUGCACAACAUCUAGAAGGCAAACCCUAGAGGUUAUCCACAACUGUGAUCCACAUAAUUGUCGAGUUCACCACAUAAUCGUUGCCAUCUACAUGGAAAUCGAUGCACGCAUCAAAAACCCUAAAAGCUCCCACUUUCUUCUUCAAUCGCCUGACAAAGGAUUCUAAAAUCAAACCGAUUCACUUCGAGAGGAAGAUGUUGACGGUGGUGGUCACCUGAAGAGGGAAGAUGACAACGACAUGGGUUGAUUUAGGGUUUCUCCAUUGGUGGUCUUGUGAUGGUUGUGGUUCUAGGAAAUGGCGAAAGGGCGGCGGCUAGGGUUCCACCAACACAUAAAUCUGACCGAUUUUGGUUUCGGCAGGUACUGGUAUGUUCAAACAGUUGGUUGGUAUUUCAGAUUCAUGAUAUUUUUCAGUCCAGUACUAAAUGCUUUGAGGAAUUUCAAUGCUAAGUAGAUUGGCAAAAUGGGUGAAUUUUUGUGUCUGUCAAAACGGGUCAGGAAAUGGGAUAAAUUUGAGGAGUCGUAUAAUGUAAUGCUCUUUUCAAAUGGUGACAAUUGCUGGAAUGGUCCUGAUAGAAGUUUAAAGGUUAUAUUAAGAUGUGGAGUGAAAGUCGAGCUUGCCGACGUAGACGAACCAAGCAGUUGCGAAUGCCAUUAGUGCUACCAUGGUCAAAGAAGGGACUUAAGAUUGGCAAAGACAGCAACAGAAUCUGAAAAUGUACGAAAAGAAUAUGACGAGGCCAACAGAAAGUUAUCUAAACUAAAAUCAAGGAUAUCUCGCUUAACAAAGAAGCUAGCACAUGAUUUUCGUAUGUUUUGUUUAUUUAAUCUUGUAAAUUACAGAAGUUUUCCGUCUUUUCUAUGGUUCUUCUGUGACCCGUGUUUGACUUUGUAGGACCAGAGAAGGAA